UUGUCAUUUAUUUAAAUGAUGAAGGUAAUAGAAAGCCAUACUUAAACAAGAAAUUACUCUUAACACCCUUGGGCAUAGGCAUUUAGAUAAAAUUGUUCAUUACAUUUCUAAAGACUUAAAGAUGAUGGGUAAUUCUGUGGCUGUCCAAUUGGUUCACUUCUCUCUUGACAGUACCAGAUGCACCACAGGGAUCUUCUCGUUAGGUUCUUCAUCUUUGAUCAUAUGGAUUGAUAGCUCACCAAACAUCCAUAGAAUCUGAUUGACCUCCUCCAAUGCCUUGGUAUGAAUGCACCCCACGGAUCGAAAAGUUUCAUACAAGAAGGGAAUUAUCUUUUUCCUAAAUUCUUCCUCAUUUCACUUAAGCUGAACCAUCCUCUUAACCUUCUUUUGGGUUACUAAUUUCCUUCUCUCAUCUUUGGUAGGUUUCUACCCCAAACCAAACCUUUCUUCAUUCUUGAUUGGAGUCAAAGGACUGCUAAUUCCUUGUAAAUUCUUUCCUAACCCCAAACCGGUACAGCAUCCUUUACCCACUGUCUGCUUAACCCCCAUUUUAGUUGCUACUGACAAACGAGGAGUCGGUAUCACUUCUUUUUCCCCCAUAUAAGUAGCAUUAACAAAUUCAAAAGAUCUGAAAGAGCAUUCUAGGACUUUUUCUAUCACCUCUACAUAGGGAGCAGAUGAUGGUUGAAUAGCCAGUAUGUCUUCCUUCGCAGAUACACUUAUCAAUUGCCCCUCAACUAUGAACUUAAAUUUUU
Molecule: long non-coding RNA, 755 nt
Filed under: Theobroma cacao (cacao)
Lineage: Eukaryota; Viridiplantae; Streptophyta; Magnoliopsida; Malvales; Malvaceae
Description: long non-coding RNA (TCAC_LNC005802)
Source: RNAcentral